Molecule: ribosomal RNA, 506 nt
Filed under: uncultured bacterium
Lineage: Bacteria
Description: partial 16S ribosomal RNA
Rfam family: Bacterial small subunit ribosomal RNA
Source: RNAcentral
GAUGAACGCUAGCUACAGGCUUAACACAUGCAAGUCGAGGGGUAACGAGAGGAAAGCUUGCUUUCCUUGUCGACGACCGGCGCACGGGAGAGUAACGCGUAUCCAACCUGCCCCCAACUAAGGAAUAACCUUGCGAAAGUAAGACUAAUACCUUAUAAUUUCCUCAGAUGUCAUCUGACGAGGAAUAAAGAUUUAUCGGUUGUGGAUGGGGAUGCGUCUGAUUAGAUUGUGGGCGGGGUAAGGGCCCACCAAGGCAACGAUCAGUAGGGGUUCUGAGAGGAAGGUCCCCCACAUUGGAACUGAGACACGGUCCAAACUCCUACGGGAGGCAGCAGUGAGGAAUAUUGGUCAAUGGGCGAAAGCCUGAACCAGCCAAGUAGCGUGCAGGAUGACGGCCCUAUGGGUUGUAAACUGCUUUUAUACAGGAAUAAAGUUAGCCACGUGUGGUUAUUUGUAGGUACUGUAUGAAUAAGGACCGGCUAAUUCCGUGCCAGCCGCCGCCGUAA